GUCGGUCCCAAGGGUUGGGCUGUUCGCCCAUUAAAGCGGUACGCGAGCUGGGUUUAGAACGUCGUGAGACAGUUCGGUCCCUAUCCGCUGUGCGCGUAGGAAUAUUGAGAAGGGCUGUCCCUAGUACGAGAGGACCGGGACGGACGAACCUCUGGUGUGCCAGUUGUUCUGCCAAGGGCAUGGCUGGUUGGCUACGUUCGGGAGGGAUAACCGCUGAAAGCAUCUAAGCGGGAAGCCUGCUUCGAGAUGAGUGUUCCCACCUCCUUGAGAGGGUAAGGCUCCCAGUAGACGACUGGGUUGAUAGGCCGGAUAUGGAAGCCCUGUAAGGGGUGGAGUUGACCGGUACUAAUAGGCCGAGGGCUUGUCCUCAGUUG
RNAcentral lists this ribosomal RNA (374 nucleotides) under Streptomyces sp. SID8014. RNAcentral describes it as "partial 23S ribosomal RNA". It matches the Rfam family "Bacterial large subunit ribosomal RNA", at positions 2558 to 2925 of the family's 2925-position model. Lineage: Bacteria; Bacillati; Actinomycetota; Actinomycetes; Kitasatosporales; Streptomycetaceae. RNAcentral also lists the same sequence under 1 other name. The record is from RNAcentral.